AUUGAACGCCGGCGGCAGGCCUAACACAUGCAAGUCGAACGGUAGCACAGAGGAGCUUGCUCCUUGGGUGACGAGUGGCGGACGGGUGAGUAAUGUCUGGGAAACUGCCCGCUGGAGGGGGAUAACUACUGGAAACGGUAGCUAAUACCGCAUAACGUCGCAAGACCAAAGAGGGGGACCUUCGGGCCUCUUGCCAUCGGAUGUGCCCAGAUGGGAUUCGCUAGUAGGUGGGGUAACGGCACACCUAGGCGACGAUCCAUAGCUGGUCUGAGAGGAUGACCAGCCACACUGGAACUGGUACACGGACCAGACGCCUACGGGAGGCAGCAGUGGGGAAUAUUGCACAAUGGGCGCAAGCCUGAUGCAGCCAUGCCGCGUGUAUGAAGAAGGCCUUCGGGUUGUAAAGUACUUUCAGCGAGGAGGAAGGCGUUGUGGUUGAUAACCGCAGCGAUUGACGUUACUCGCAGAAGAAGCACCGGCUAACUCCGUGCCAGCAGCCGCGGUAA
This 506-nucleotide ribosomal RNA is filed under the name uncultured bacterium. RNAcentral's name for it is "partial 16S ribosomal RNA". It matches the Rfam family "Bacterial small subunit ribosomal RNA", at positions 29 to 523 of the family's 1533-position model. The record is from RNAcentral.